This 338-nucleotide unclassified non-coding RNA is filed under the name soil metagenome. RNAcentral's name for it is "partial contains 5.8S ribosomal RNA, internal transcribed spacer 2, and large subunit ribosomal RNA". The stretch from base 1 to 120 matches the Rfam family "5.8S ribosomal RNA", at positions 35 to 154 of the family's 154-position model. The record is from RNAcentral.
GAUGAAGAACGCAGCGAAAUGCGAUAAGUAAUGUGAAUUGCAGAAUUCAGUGAAUCAUCGAAUCUUUGAACGCACAUUGCGCCCGCCAGCAUUCUGGCGGGCAUGCCUGUUCGAGCGUCAUUUCAACCCUCAAGCUCUGCUUGGUGUUGGGGCCCUACGGUUGACGUAGGCCCUUAAAGGUAGUGGCGGAUCCUCUCGGAGCCUCCUUUGCGUAGUAACUAACGUCUCGCAUUGGGAUUCGGAGGGACUCUUGCCGUAAAACCCCCAAAUUUUCUAAUGGUUGACCUCGGAUCAGGUAGGAAUACCCGCUGAACUUAAGCAUAUCAAUAAGCGGAGGA